RNAcentral lists this small RNA (99 nucleotides) under Arabidopsis thaliana (thale cress). Its description in RNAcentral is "ATSL249630". The record is from RNAcentral. Lineage: Eukaryota; Viridiplantae; Streptophyta; Magnoliopsida; Brassicales; Brassicaceae.
GGCGGGAAAGAGUGUAUCGGAUGCGGCAGCGGGAGGUGUUAACUUCGUGAAGGACAAGACCGGCCUGAACAAGUAGCGAUUCGGGUCAAAUUUGGGAGU